RNAcentral lists this ribosomal RNA (491 nucleotides) under uncultured bacterium. Its description in RNAcentral is "partial 16S ribosomal RNA". It matches the Rfam family "Bacterial small subunit ribosomal RNA", at positions 29 to 506 of the family's 1533-position model. The record is from RNAcentral.
AGUGAACGCUGGCGGUAGGCCUAACACAUGCAAGUAGAACGGCAGCACAGUAAGAGCUUGCUCUUACGGGUGGCGAGUGGCGGACGGGUGAGGAAUACAUCGGAAUCUACUUUUUCGUGGGGGAUAACGUAGGGAAACUUACGCUAAUACCGCAUACGACCUACGGGUGAAAGCAGGGGAUCUUCGGACCUUGCGCGAUUGAAUGAGCCGAUGUCGGAUUAGCUAGUUGGCGGGGUAAAGGCCCACCAAGGCGACGAUCCGUAGCUGGUCUGAGAGGAUGAUCCGCCCCACUGGACCUGGGACCCGGCCCAGCCUCCUACGGGAGGCAGCAGGGGGGAAUUUUGGACAAUGGGCGCAAGCCUGACCCAGCCAUCCCGGGUGGGUGAAGAAGGCCUUCGGUUUGUAAAGCCCUUUUUUUGGGAAAGAAAAGCAGCAGGUUAAUCCCCCGCUUUUCUGACGGUCCCCAAAGAAUAAGCCCCGGCUACCUUCGU